UUGAACGCUGGCGGCAGGCCUAACACAUGCAAGUCGAGCGGAUGAAGGGAGCUUGCUCCUGGAUUCAGCGGCGGACGGCUGAGUAAUGCCUAGGAAUCUGCCUGGUAGUGGGGGAUAACGUCCGGAAACGGGCGCUAAUACCGCAUACGUCCUGAGGGAGAAAGUGGGGGAUCUUCGGACCUCACGCUAUCAGAUGAGCCUAGGUCGGAUUAGCUAGUUGGUGGGGUAAAGGCCUACCAAGGCGACGAUCCGUAACUGGUCUGAGAGGAUGAUCAGUCACACUGGAACUGAGACACGGUCCAGACUCCUACGGGAGGCAGCAGUGGGGAAUAUUGGACAAAGGGCGAAAGCCUGAUCCAGCCAUGCCGCGUGUGUGAAGAAGGUCUUCGGAUUGUAAAGCACUUUAAGUUGGGAGGAAGGGCAGUAAGUUAAUACCUUGCUGUUUUGACGUUACCAACAGAAUAAGCACCGGCUAACUUCGUG
RNAcentral lists this ribosomal RNA (483 nucleotides) under uncultured bacterium. Its description in RNAcentral is "partial 16S ribosomal RNA". It matches the Rfam family "Bacterial small subunit ribosomal RNA", at positions 30 to 507 of the family's 1533-position model. The record is from RNAcentral.